GACGAACGCUGGCGGCGUGCCUAAUACAUGCAAGUCGAGCGCAGGAAGUCAUCCGAACCCUUCGGGGGGACGUUGACGGAAUGAGCGGCGGACGGGUGAGUAACACGUAAAGAACCUGCCCUCAGGUCUGGGAUAACCACGAGAAAUCGGGGCUAAUACCGGAUGGGUCAUCGGACCGCAUGGUCCGAGGAUGAAAGGCGCUUCGGCGUCGCCUGGGGAUGGCUUUGCGGUGCAUUAGCUAGUUGGUGGGGUAACGGCCCACCAAGGCGACGAUGCAUAGCCGACCUGAGAGGGUGAUCGGCCACACUGGGACUGAGACACGGCCCAGACUCCUACGGGAGGCAGCAGUAGGGAAUCUUCCACAAUGGACGAAAGUCUGAUGGAGCAACGCCGCGUGAACGAUGAAGGCCCUCGGGUCGUAAAGUUCUGUUGUAAGGGAAGAACAAGUGCCGCAGGCAAUGGCGGCCACCCUUGAACGGUA
This 481-nucleotide ribosomal RNA is filed under the name Bacillus sp. oral taxon B77. Its description in RNAcentral is "bacterial SSU rRNA". It matches the Rfam family "Bacterial small subunit ribosomal RNA", at positions 28 to 477 of the family's 1533-position model. The record is from RNAcentral. Lineage: Bacteria; Bacillati; Bacillota; Bacilli; Caryophanales; Bacillaceae.